RNAcentral lists this ribosomal RNA (789 nucleotides) under Triticum aestivum (bread wheat). RNAcentral's name for it is "partial small subunit ribosomal RNA". Lineage: Eukaryota; Viridiplantae; Streptophyta; Magnoliopsida; Poales; Poaceae. The record is from RNAcentral.
AUGGACACACCCCGACGGCCUUACGGCCCAUUAGAAAACGAAACCGACCCCAUAGAAGAGUUCAAAGCCCAACCCACAAUCCGCGCACCGCCGCCAAAGCCCGACCGAACCAGCCAACCCCCUCCUCCGGCGCCGACCCACCAGGCUACCGCCGCUCGCCAUGGAGUCCGCGGCGAUGGACCGCAUCGCCGCCCGGCUCUCCGCCGUCGAAGGCCUCUACUUCCCCACGGCCUUCCUCCGCACCUCGCCGCCGCCGCCGGCGCGCAAGUCGGCCCUCCUCGACCUCCUCUCCCGCGACGCGCCGCUCUUCCUCGAGCGGUACGGCACCGCGCUGCGCCCGGACGAGCUGGCCCCUUUCGACGCGCUCCGGGACGACUAAGAGGUGGGCUGGCACCCCCGCCGCCUGCGCGCCGCUGCCGCCUGGAGGCCCCGGCCCCCGCGCGCGUGCGCAACCGGCGCCGCGCCUACCUCCACCGCCUGGUGACCCAGGGGGACUACUUCUCCGAGGAGGCGAUGCGGGAGCGGGAGCCGUACCUGCACCACGAGUACCUCGGCAGGUUCCAGGACCCCUUCGGGCGCGCCAUGGUGCGGCCCGGGGAGAAGUUCUCCGAGACGCUGAUGCGGCGGGCUGAGGAGGCUGUCAUCGUGGAGAAGAUCCGCGGGGAGCAGAUGAGGCGAGGGGUUGACCCCAGCGAGUGGGUCGGCGGUCCCAUUGAGCGGCCGAUGAUGGUGCAGGAAGAAGAGGAGGAGGAGGAAGAGGAAAAGGAAGAAGAGGAGGAAAGAGGAUGA